UUUGUCUACCUGACCACUGUUGCUUCGGCGAGCCCGUCUGUAAUGGACCGCCGGGGGGUACCUUGAUCGGCCCUCUGGUCCGCGCUCGUCGAUAGCCAAACUUUUUAAAAUCUUAACCAAACGUGUCUCAAUCUAAGUAUUAUUUGUUAAAUAAAAGCAAAACUUUCAACAACGGAUCUCUUGGUUCUGGCAUCGAUGAAGAACGCAGCGAAAUGCGAUAAGUAAUGCGAAUUGCAGAAUUUCAGUGAGUCAUCGAAUCUUUGAACGCACAUUGCGCCCUUUGGUAUUCCGAAGGGCAUGCCUGUUCGAGCGUCAUUAUCACCCCUCAAGCCCCCGGCUUGGUGUUGGACGGUUUGGUGGAGGCCCCCUCGCGGGGCCACCGCCCCUCCCAAAGACAAUGACGGCGGCCUCGUUGGACCCCCGGUACACUGAGUUCUUCACGGGACACGUAUCGGACACAUGGGUUUACGGGACACGGUCUGCCUCCCCUCAGGGAGAAUCUUUCUAAGGUUGACCUCGGAUCAGGUAGGGAUACCCGCUGAACUUAAGCAUAUCAAA
RNAcentral lists this ribosomal RNA (558 nucleotides) under Exophiala pisciphila. RNAcentral describes it as "eukaryotic LSU rRNA". The stretch from base 161 to 315 matches the Rfam family "5.8S ribosomal RNA". The record is from RNAcentral. Lineage: Eukaryota; Fungi; Ascomycota; Eurotiomycetes; Chaetothyriales; Herpotrichiellaceae.